This is a long non-coding RNA of Rana temporaria (common frog), 1282 nucleotides long. RefSeq lists it as uncharacterized. The transcript has 2 exons. The record is from RefSeq and is a predicted model, not a curated record. NCBI's taxonomy places the organism in Eukaryota, Metazoa, Chordata, Amphibia, Anura, Ranidae.
GCUACUCCAUUUUAAGAUCUAAGGUUCCAUCUUGUAUAACAUACAUUGCAAUAAGUACUGUGCUUGUUUUUCUCCUUCCAUUUAAACUUUGUGGUUUUGUCAUAGAUACAAAUAGAUUAUGUUGAGACGGCUAGUUCCGGCACAGACAUCCUUUGUGCAAGUAACUUGUAAGAAUGAAACUUGUUAAAGAGGAACAUCUGCAUCUGUAUAAAAUACUGUGACAAAUACAGCAAUUUGCAAUCAUCGAUACAACAUAAGUGUCUGUGUCAUUAUUGUCCCGCCGGCGCAGGGGGUCAUACAUCCACAUGUCCAAGGUCCAGCCUGGGCAACGGAACCAGAACCGAACCUAACAGACUGGUACCAGAAGUGGGGUAUUGAUUGACCGGAUCCAACUCACCCCUUUAUACCUGAGAUGAGGUAUUGGUUAAGCAAUUGGCCGUAAGGAGAAAGACAGGCCCCAUUUACCAAGGUCCAUAUACGGUGAAAAAGGUCCCUUGAAGAUAAAGACCCCAGAAGCCCCGAUGGCUCCCCCCUUGGAGCGAGGGCUCAAGAACAAGGAGGACGCAAAGCUAGAAGCCCUGAUGGCUCCCCCCUUGGAGCGAGGGCUCAAGAACAAGGAGGACGUAAAGCCAGAGACCCUGAUGGCUCCCCCCAUAGAGCAAGGGUCCGGGAAAACCAGCACUUAACUGCCAAUCAGAAUAGAAACUGUAUGGGACAACGGUCAGGGGUGUACAAUAGAAUGAUACGAGGAGGGAAAUAUUGUGGACUGUUGCCUUUACUGUUUGUGGUGACCGCUUUUGGGGUUUGCUACUUCACCCCAGGUUGAUACAUGGGAUACAUGGGAUACAUGGCCAAGGGCCAAAGGCCAAGACCCAAAAUUAGUCAUAGUAAGGAAAAGAUUCAUACCAUUUAGAUGGCGAACCAAAUUUGGUAUAGUGAGUGAUCCCAAGAAAGUAAACAUUCUUUGGGAUCAGAGGAGGGAUGUAAGGAAUGUGAAAUAAUGGAAUAUUAUAUGUCUGACAUUAGCUACUCCAUUUUAAGAUCUAAGGUUCCAUCUUGUAUAACAUACAUUGCAAUAAGUACUGUGCUUGUUUUUCUCCUUCCAUUUAAACUUUGUGGUUUUGUCAUAGAUACAAAUAGAUUAUGUUGAGACGGCUAGUUCCGGCACAGACAUCCUUUGUGCAAGUAACUUGUAAGAAUGAAACUUGUUAAAGAGGAACAUCUGCAUCUGUAUAAAAUACUGUGACAAAUACAGCAAUUUGCAAUCAUCGAUACAACAUAA